Molecule: long non-coding RNA, 5018 nt
Organism: Pan troglodytes (chimpanzee)
Lineage: Eukaryota; Metazoa; Chordata; Mammalia; Primates; Hominidae
Exons: 2
Source: RefSeq, a predicted model, not a curated record
UAGAAACAAAUGGCGUGUCAAGUUUCGCAGGAAGAGUGAAGCUCUGGGAGCCAGCCACGAUUAGUCGCGCCUUCUGUGACGUCCAGUGGCAGAGGUCAAAGGGAUUCCUGGGGCAACCUCAAGGGAAAGAAUUCUGGCUCCGAGGGCCAGUGUACAGUGCUUUAAAUAUGGCAGUGGUUGUGUGUGAAAUUAUCGUGUUUUUCUGUUUAACCUGUUUCUUGUCUCUUCAUCGCCUUUCUAUAUAAUGUAAGACCAGAGGCUUUAUGUAGUGAAUUCCCUAUAACCCCGGCUGCUUGGACAGAUAGGUAUUCAAGUAUUUGUUUCUUGAAGUAAUCCUCUGAAUUAACCUGCUCACAUGUAAAAAAUAAUAACGGGCUGGGAAACGCCAGUAAUAGCCGCCAAACGUUUGUUAGACAUUUACAGUGUGCCAGGGACUGCAUUUUACGUGUAUUACCACAUUCCUCAGAACAGCCUAAUGAGGUAUAUAUUACUAGAAUGCCUAUUUUUCAGAUGAGGAAACUGAUGCAUAGAAAGGAUAAUUUACUCAAGAGCGAGGAAGUAGCAAGCAUAAAAUCCAAGUACAUUUUUUCUGCAUGUAUUAAUAGGUACAAUGAAGUAACUUUUUAAAUUGCUGUAGGUAUCAAUUAUAGUCUUAAUUCCCAGUAAUUCACUUACUAAGAAAUAUUUUCUGCUUCUCUUUCAUCAUUCAUGGGAGAAAUACAUAUCCUUAAAUAUUUUGCACAUUUAAAACUUAAACUUGGGUGUGGUGGCUUAUGCCUGUAAUCACGGCGUUUUGGGAGGCUCAGAUGGGAGGAUUGCUUGAGUCCAGGAGUUCCAGGCCAGCCUGGGCCACAUAGUAAGACCCCGUAUCUACAAAAAAUAAAAAAAAAAAAUUAGCCAGGCAUGGUAGUGCCUCUGUAGUACUAGCUACUCGGGAGGCUGAGGUGGUAGGAUCACUGGCGCCCAGCAAUUCCAGCCUGCAGUUAGGUAGGAUUACCACACUGCACUUCAGCCUGAGCGGCAGAAUGGGACCAUGUCUGAAAAAAUAAAUAAAAAAUAAAACUUGCAGGUAUGUUCUGAAUGUUUAUUGUAUGCAUCCUCUAUGAUGUAUCAUUUUAUUGGAAAUUAUUGCAUUGUCUACAAAAAUAUGAAGAACUCUGAAGAUGCCAAAAGAUAAACCGUGAAAGAGUACUAGAAGUGAGCUCCUCAAAAAGAUAAAGCUGAGAAGUGUUUCCCAAUUUUUCUUACUCAUUUAUGUAUGUAAUACUUUAUGUCUAGAAACUGAAUUUCAGAGCUGGGAGGAAACUUAAAAGUUAGUCCAGUUCUUUCAUGUUAGUGCCAAGAAAGCUGAUCAGAAAGAGAUUAAAUGACUUGCCCAAAAUUGAAUAGUCUUAAAUCUGAGCCGAGGCAGGCGUCUGAAUGUCUUAAAUUGGAGUUAAAUGUAUUAGCGUCAUAGUAUUAACAUCAUCAUAUUCCAUAUCUCUGAAAUCUGAUUUGAUUUUCAUUACAAUAGAGAAAUAAGUGUGAUUAGUAUUAUCCCCAUUUCCUUCACCGGGAGGCACAUUGUUUUAGUAUCAAAAGCAGCUACCUUGGGAGAAUCCGGGGCUAGAAACCUGGCUUCAUUUCAAGUUUUACUCUUGUUGCACCAAAACCUUGGGUGAGUUAGUUUCUCAGCCUCAGUCCCCUCAUCAGGAAAAUGCUGUGUUAGCACUUUCUGUGAAGAAUGAUCAAAGGAGUGGAGAUGAUAGAGGUUAUAAACACACUUGACACAGAGUAAGUGUUUAAGAACUGGUAGCUGAUUUUUACAAAGUUAUGGGUCAUAGAAGGCAGUUUAGAGAAAAGGGCAGGCUUUGGAGUAGGAGUAGCUCAGAGUUGUAUUAUAACCUUGGCUUCUUUACUCACCUAGGACAUACACUCUCUCUUUAGCUGUAGCUUCCUCCCCUCUGAGAUGGAAAUUAUAAGCCAUCUCACAGUGUUGUGAGGAUUGGAGCUCAAGUGUGUAAAAUGCCUCCUCUGUGGGCUCUCCUUGGAGAGUUCUUGUAUCCUAUUGAUUGUCAUCAAAGGCAAAAAGUGGCAGGAUGAUGGCAUAAGUGGGAAGAACCUUGAGUUUAAUAGUCUGAAAAAGUGGUUACAGGUUCUUGCUGUGCUUUUCCUCUCUGUGGUUUUCUGAACCCAUCGCCUAACCUGAAGCCUUAAACUUCAUCUGCAAAAAUGUUUUGUGGCAGGUGACUCUGAAGCAGAACUCUUGAGAUGGAAGGAUUGUCAUCUGAGGAAAAAAAAUCAAGAUUAAGAGAGGAGGAACUAGAAUGAGAUUCACAUACCGUCUCUCCUCCAAGGGAAGGAGAGAGUGGUGAUGCCUGCCCACUCCUUCCUGGGCAGAACAUUUGUAGCAUGGAACAUUGGAGAAUUUGCAGUCUGCUGACUUUCUGAUUUAGGAGGUUGAUGGGGAGGCCUUAUAAUUUGCAUUUCUAACAAGUUCUGAGGUGAUGCUUCAAGUAUGUCCAGGCAGAAGGGCCGCCUCACAGAGAAUUCUGCCAUACCACGUGGGAAUUGAAGUCACAGACAUCUCUAACCCUCAAGCCUGAAACCAAAAGACUGAAAACCAACACUACAGUAGACAAAGAACAUCUCUGAACUUGUGUGGGGACCAGUGACACAAGGACCUAAGGUCUCUCUCUUCUCAUCUUGGCACUUCAGAAGUCUCCCCAGUCUUGACAAAGCCCUGGAGAAAGGGCCGGGCCUCCCGUUGAUAAGAAUAUCACUGCAGAUAAAUGGAGGUUUCAAAUUGAAAGAAAGGAGGAGGGCCUCCUGUUGAUAAGAUUAUUGCCACUGCAGGUAAAUGGAGGCUUCAAAUAGAAAUACAUUUCAGUUACAGAAAAAAAAAUUAUCUUUGUUACACAUUUGAGUUUGCAGGCCUAAGGUUACUCCCGCUACACUAUCAUCUGUAACCAUAAGGCACUCAACAUUUUUAAGCUAACUAUAAGGAUUGUUGCUUCACUCAAAGAUCCUGAGGUUUUAUUCACUAACAUUUUUAUUUGGUGACUAUAGUUGACAAGAACAAAGCUGUGGGGAACCAACAAACACUGCAAUGCCUGGCAUUGUCACCUCACUAGAUUGUGAGUUCCUCUCGGACAGGGUCCGUACAUUUUCUUAGAAUCCCUCACUUAGCCAUUAGCCUGCACACUGCUUGUACUUAGUAAGUGCUCAGUAAAUGUUUGUGGAAUGAAUGCAUGAUGAACAAAAUAUAUACUGAGGACUCUUGGUGUUGAUUCUUGUUGAUAAUAGUUAAGAUAUGUUAUAAAUAUGUUAUAAAUAUUGUAUCAAAAUAUUGUAUCAAAAAUAUACUUGAGCAGGCUGGGCGUGGUGGCUCACACUUGUAAUCCCAGCCCUUUGGGAGGCUGAGGCGGGUGGAUCACUUGAGGUCAGGAGUUCGAGACCAGACUGGCCAACAUGGUAAAACCCCAUCUCCACUAAAAAAAAACAAAAGUUAGCUGGGCAUGGUUGUGGAUGACUGUAAUCCCAGCUACUCGGGAGGCUGAGGCAGGAGAAUCGCUUGAACCCGGGAGGUAGAGGUUGCAGUGAACCAAGAUCGCACCACUGCACUCCAGUCUAGGGGACAGAGCAAGACGCCUCAAAAAAAAAAAAGUAUAUAUAUGUAGUAUAUACAUACACACGAGCAUAAAGGAGCUUCAAUGUGAAGGUAAUAAUUUAAGCAACAUUUCACAUUUUGGACCUGUGUUAGCUAUUUAGAGCAGUUAAACUACUAGCUUGCUUUUAAAUCCAUUGUCUUAGUCAUUUCAAGUUGUUAUAACAAAAUACCAUACACUGAGUAGUUUAUAAACAACAGAAUGCAUUUCUCUCAAUUCUGGAGGCUGGGAAGUCGAAGAUCAAGGUGCUGGCAGAUUGUGUGUAGUGAAGAUCCAUUCAUCAGAGAUGGCACCUUCUCGCUGUGUCCUCACAUGGUGGAUGGGGCAACAGGCUCUCUUAGGCUUCUUUUAUAAGGGCAAUAAUUCAUGAAGUUUCCACACUUAUGUUAGAAUUACCUCCUAGAGGCCCCACUUCCAACUACCAUCACCUUGAGGAUUAGGUUUCAACAUACAAAUUUUGGAGGUACACAUUCAGAUGAUGACAGCACUCAUAGGUUACCUUUCAUCUUUGGGUUCUCAGUGCCUGCUACAACAGCACAAGAACAGUAAGUGUGUGCUGAAUGAAUACAGAUGAAUGAACCUUUCCCCAUCCUCUUAGAUACUUCCCAACUGAGCUCCACUAUCACCAAACUUGUAGAGCACAUUAUUUUUUGCCUUAUGAUCUCGUUAAGUGGGUUUUUCUUGCACAUACCACACUAAUCCAGUGGUCCUCAAAAUUGUGUGCCCAUUAGAAUCCUCUGGAGGGGUUGUAAAAAUAGUUUGCUGGGUCCUAACCCCAGAGUUUCUGAUUUAGGAGGUUUGGGAUGGGGACACCAAAAUUUGCAUUUCUAACAAGUCCAGAGGUGAUGUUGAUACUGCUGGCUACCAACUCUACCUUAUAAACCAUUGCACAUUAAACUCUUGAGGGUAGAGACUGUCUUCCUCAUUUCAGUAUCUGCUGAAGCCUCUGGCAUAGUACCUGGCACAUAGGAGCUGCUAAAGAAAUAGUUGAUUGAACAAUAGUUCAAAAAAGUUUAUUUUACUGAAGCUAGAUUACAAGUAUAUGAAUGUGUGUGUAUAUGAGAUUAAAUGAGCUAUUACAUGUAAAAGCUCUUAAAACAUGGCACAUAGUAAGCUGUUGCUUUAAAAAAAUCAAAAAUGUAACCUUUCUUUGCUUAUAUUCUAAAAUGACACCAACCAUCCUACAUGUGUGCUCUUAAAUAGCUUAUAUAUUAGAAUAAUGGAAUCUUAGUACUAAAGGCUGGAUGUGGUUGCUCAUGCCUGUAAUCCCAGCACCGUGGGAAGCCGAGGUGGGUGGAUCACUUGAGGUCAGGAGUUCAAGACCAACCUGUUCAAUAUGGUAAAACCCUGUCUCUACUAAAAAUACAAAAA